RNA transcript from Choloepus didactylus (southern two-toed sloth), 1563 nucleotides. It is a transcript of the gene named complement C1q tumor necrosis factor-related protein 5-like, with no coding region annotated. The record is from RefSeq and is a predicted model, not a curated record. NCBI's taxonomy places the organism in Eukaryota, Metazoa, Chordata, Mammalia, Pilosa, Megalonychidae. The transcript is spliced from 3 exons.
CUGUUCUCCCGGCUCGGGGUGCUCUUGCUUUGGGUCUCUGCCGGGCGCCCCUCACUUCCUUGGCUGGGUCUUUGCUGGGUGGGACCCCUUCUCCAGGAGGCCCGCUCUGCCCCAGGCCCCGCUCUGCCCCUUCUCUCUCUCCCUGUCUGCCUCAGCUCUCUGGAAUUUUUUUUGUUUAACUUUUUAUUUUGAAAUAAUUUCAAACCUACAAGACAGCUGCAAAAAUAAUGCAAACCCUGAACAGAGAAGCCCAGCACCCCCGUCCCCUCGAGAACUGAAGCUCCUCGAGGCCAGGCCCCGCUGUCUGGUUCAUCCGCGAUGUCUGCCCAGCCCGGGCCCAGCGUCUGGCAUCUGGCGGCCGCUUGUGAGCUGCGCGUUGCGCGGGAGAUCUGGGGUCCCCCAGGCCCGCAGGUCUGAUCUGGAUCCUGGUUGUUGCUUCUCGGUUGUGGGAACAUCCUGAGGAUUUCUCAAGUCCCUUCAGGUACCAGCCUGCCUGGGAGGCUCAGGGAAGAUGCUCUGUGUUGCUCAGGGGGAAUCCCGGGGACCGCUCAGAGGAUGAGCCUCUGGAUAGUUUUUCAAAAGUCCCACUCCGUGGCCUGGACUAGACCCUGCUAACGGGAGAGGCCGGGGGAGGCCUUUCCUGGCCCCGCCUCUGAAACCUGCGGAGGACCCUCAGAUCCCGCACCCCGGCGCCUGCCAGGGAGGCCUUGGUGCGGUGCCUCCUGAUCAGCAGACGGCCCUGCCGGGAUCCCGUGGUCUCAGGGCCCUUCUGAAAAUAUUUUCACAGGCUCCUUCAGCUCCUGGGGUCUCCAUGAACCUGCUUUGAACAUGGAAGGGGCCGGGUGGACCUAAACUGAGCAGAGGUGUUAGUUAUAUGCACAAUGCUGUGCUCCCGUCAACACCAUCCACCUUGGAUCCCCAGCUGGCUGCAGCCCCGGCCUUCUCCUGUCCUCACCUGGCGAUGGCGGCCGAUCUUGCUGCAGGUAUCAGCAGCAGAGCGAGGGGUGACGGCUAAGUGUCCUGGGUGGGCGCUGCCCCCGAGCAGUGUCCGUGCUGCUGCUGCUGCAGAUUCUCGCCGUGGGCGCCGCCGCCCGUGCCCGAGGCAGCCGUUUCCCCGCGUUUCCGGGUCUCUCUGGAGCGCCCCGCUGUGCUCAGGGCGCCUGGAGCCGGGCAGGAGCGGGUGCGGGCGGCGGGAGAGGGCGCGGGGAGCCGCGGCGGACACGGCGGGGGGCGGAGGGGGUCCGGGCAUUUUUCUGUCCUAUUUUGAUUGAUUGUGAAGGAAACACAAAAGGUCAAAAUUUAUUUCUGAUAAUUAGUAAAUUCUUCCUGCAGAUGGCUCUCAGUGGAGUUACUGACCUUUCCCUUUAUUUUCCUUUUUGAUUUAGUGAAAUGAUUACUAACGGUUUCUAUUUUUCUAAAACAUCUCCUUCCCAAGAGUAAAUCUUCCAUUUGGCUUGCCUUGAUUUUGAUUGGCUUUGCCUUUUUCCUUGCAGCAAGUUUGUAAUACAACUAACAUAAGGGCUCACACCUGAAUCUUCUCGAGGUUUUUUUUUUUUUUUUUUU